This 450-nucleotide ribosomal RNA is filed under the name uncultured bacterium. RNAcentral's name for it is "partial 16S ribosomal RNA". It matches the Rfam family "Bacterial small subunit ribosomal RNA", at positions 354 to 796 of the family's 1533-position model. The record is from RNAcentral.
GUGGGGAAUUUUGGACAAUGGGCGCAAGCCUGAUCCAGCAAUGCCGCGUGCAGGAAGAAGGCCUUCGGGUUGUAAACUGCUUUUGUACGGAACGAAACGGUCCUGGCUAAUAUCCGGGGCUAAUGACGGUACCGUAAGAAUAAGCACCGGCUAACUACGUGCCAGCAGCCGCGGUAAUACGCAGGGUGCGAGCGUUAAUCGGAAUUACUGGGCGUAAAGCGUGCGCAGGCGGUGCUGUAAGACAGGCGUGAAAUCCCCGGGCUCAACCUGGGUAUUGCGCUUGUGACUGCAGUGCUGGAGUGCUGCAGAGGGGGAUGGAAUUCCGCGUGUAGCAGUGAAAUGCGUAGAUAUGCGGAGGAACACCGAUGGCGAAGGCAAUCCCCUGGGCCUGCACUGACGCUCAUGCACGAAAGCGUGGGGAGCAAACAGGAUUAGAUACCCUUGUAGUCC